Molecule: RNA transcript, 228 nt
Organism: Rhinopithecus roxellana (golden snub-nosed monkey)
Lineage: Eukaryota; Metazoa; Chordata; Mammalia; Primates; Cercopithecidae
Exons: 2
Source: RefSeq, a predicted model, not a curated record
CCUGAAUCUGUCCCUACAACUCCCCUUCCUAGCGAAAAAUAGACAAGAAUGAAAAGUCACAAUAAAAUUGAAGAUGAAAUAUGUGGUCACCUAAAAUUAAACGUGAACCACUUCUUUGAAGAAUCAAAAUUCCUGUUAAUGAAAGAAUAACAAAUGUAAUUGAAAUAGCACAUAGCAUUCUCUAGUCAAUAUCUUUAGUGAUCUUCUUUAAUAAACAUGAAAGCAAAG